Non-coding RNA from Paramuricea clavata, 1370 nucleotides. The record is from the annotation of a GenBank genome assembly. NCBI's taxonomy places the organism in Eukaryota, Metazoa, Cnidaria, Anthozoa, Malacalcyonacea, Plexauridae.
UUAUUAGGUUGAGAGGAGGGAUUAAAUGGGAUGUGAUUCGAAUAAAAUGAAUAUUCGGCAUUGUUAUUGUAUUGGAUGGAAUAAUCGAUCGUCAGGAAUAAUCCAUCGAUGAAUGCCCGCAUAUAGAUCUUGUCAAACAUGUCGACUUGAUGCAACACUGUUCGAAUCCCAACCCAGAUGGUUGAUAAAAGGAGUAACGUGGCUAUUACUUCGUGGUUGGAUCAUUCCGAUGUUGUCAACGUUCCCCUUCUUUUAAGGGUUCCACACAGGGCAAACAUAUUGUAAUUGUCUCUUGACUUAAUGUCAGUGUUACUACAUUUGUGAAGAAUUUUUCUAAAUAGGUCAAUUUUACUACUCCAGUUUAAGUUCAAUCUUGUACAACAUCUCUCGAUACAAUACUGGUUUAAUAUGGCUUCUAGCGUUUCGUUGAGGAUUUGAUUAUUAAGAAUAUAUUUAAAUUUGUAAAAUUCAUGAAUAAUUAAUGAAGCUAAAAACAAAUCACAACGGUGUCAACGCGGUAUUUAGGUCACAUGACAUUGUGCACACUUGUGACUGACAUUAAAAAUCAGUAAGUCAUGUUAGAGGGAUGUUUAUGAAAGUUAUGAAUACUAAUUCAGAAGCAGGGAUGUUUAUGAAAGUUAUCAAUACUAAUUCAGAUUUUAAUUACCCAUUCCAGUUUUAAUUACCCGUUCCAUUUUUAAUUACCCGCUCCAUUUUUAAUUACCCGCUUCUUCUACCCGCUCCUUUACCCCCUCCCCGCUCAAAAUAGAUUAUCCGUUGACGUUGAGAAGGCUAAAAAGGCGUGUUAAGCCUCGCGGGAAAAGCUUAGCCAAAGUUCCUUGCUAUGAUGCAAAAAAAAGAAAGCGGGAUCUAAGUUCCCACGUAAAGAGAAAGUUUAGCGUGUUCAUUCACUUGUCUGUAUUGCAUAAACAGAGCGCAUUCGUAAAUGUAUAAGACGUACACGCAUACAUAUACCAAGGGAACCUGUAAUCCAAUUAGCCAGCCGGCACGGUUGCUGACAUAGCUGCAUAUUUCAAUCCACAGUUUGCACAACGAAUUCCUUGGCAACAAGCAAAUGCCGAUAACUGUACGAAGGGUGACAACUCAGGAUAUCGUGCUCAUCAAGUCUGUUCUUGUGACUUUACUACUGUAGUUCUACACGACUGUUUGCUAUAUAAGCCAAAUGAAUAGAUAGAACUAGAUCUACGACGUGGCAUCCUAUGCAACGGCACGGUUUCAAAAUAAAGAAUUUUUUUAACUAAUGCUAAACAAAAUAAUUAGCUUUUGACUAUAGCUGAAAAUGUGGAGAGCGCGCGUCGUCGAGUUUGGUGCGUCGUAGAUCUUAAACAGUCUAAUAGUUUAAAAGUCAA